AGUGAACGCUGGCGGUAGGCCUAACACAUGCAAGUCGAACGGCAGCACAGGAGAGCUUGCUCUCUGGUGGCGAGUGGCGGACGGGUGAGGAAUACAUCGGAAUCUACUCUGUCGUGGGGGAUAACAUAGGGAAACUUACGCUAAUACCGCAUACGACCUACGGGUGAAAGUGGGGGACCGCAAGGCCUCACGCGAUUGAAUGAGCCGAUGUCGGAUUAGCUAGUUGGCGGGGUAAAGGCCCACCAAGGCGACGAUCCGUAGCUGGUCUGAGAGGAUGAUCAGCCACACUGGAACUGAGACACGGUCCAGACUCCUACGGGAGGCAGCAGUGGGGAAUAUUGGACAAUGGCGGCAAGCCUGAUCCAGCCAUACCGCGUGAGUGAAGAAGGCCCUCGGGUUGUAAAGCUCUUUUGUUUGGGAAAGGAAAAUACCCUGUUGG
This 439-nucleotide ribosomal RNA is filed under the name uncultured bacterium. RNAcentral describes it as "bacterial SSU rRNA". It matches the Rfam family "Bacterial small subunit ribosomal RNA", at positions 29 to 464 of the family's 1533-position model. The record is from RNAcentral.